RNAcentral lists this ribosomal RNA (406 nucleotides) under uncultured bacterium. RNAcentral describes it as "partial 16S ribosomal RNA". It matches the Rfam family "Bacterial small subunit ribosomal RNA", at positions 30 to 526 of the family's 1533-position model. The record is from RNAcentral.
AUUGAACGCUGGCGGCAGGCCUCACACAUGCAAGUCGAGCGAGCGGCGGACGGGUGAGUAAUGUCUGGGAACCUGCCUGAUGGAGGGGGAUAACUACUGGAAACGGUGGCUAAUACCGCAUCCCAUCAGAUGUGCCCAGAUGGGAUUAGCUAGUAGGUGGGGUAAUGGCUCACCUAGGCGACGAGCCCUCGCUGGUCUGAGAGGAUGACCAGCCACACUGGAACUGAGACACGGCCCAGACUCCUACGGGAGGCAGCAGUGGGGAAUAUUGCACAAUGGGGGAAAGCCUGAUGCAGCCAUGCCGCGUGUAUGAAGAAGGCCUUCGGGUUGUAAAGUACUUUCAGCGGGGAGGCGUUACCCGCAGAAGAAGCACCGGCUAACUCCGUGCCAGCAGCCGCGGUAAUUC